UUUGUUCAUCACUUGGUUCACAUAUUUGGGUGGGGAAAAUUCAACAACCAAGCUCAGUUGAAGGUGGAGGAUGGCAUGGGCUUUUGGUUUUGGCAGUAGCUAGCUAUUAGUGUAUUUUUUUUUUAGUGCUAAAUUUUAGUCAAUAAAAUUCAGUCUUUAGCUUUGUAUUUUUGUCUCCCNNNNNNNNNNAAUAUGGUACCCAUUAUUUCUCGUUAAUGUUGUUGAAAAAUGGGAGACAAAAAUACAAAGCUAAAGACUGAAUUUUAUUGACUAAAAUUUAGCACUAAAAAAAAA
This 294-nucleotide unclassified non-coding RNA is filed under the name Hevea brasiliensis (rubber tree). The record is from RNAcentral. Lineage: Eukaryota; Viridiplantae; Streptophyta; Magnoliopsida; Malpighiales; Euphorbiaceae.